RNAcentral lists this ribosomal RNA (1475 nucleotides) under Salmonella enterica. Its description in RNAcentral is "partial 23S ribosomal RNA". It matches the Rfam family "Bacterial large subunit ribosomal RNA", at positions 1 to 1512 of the family's 2925-position model. Lineage: Bacteria; Pseudomonadati; Pseudomonadota; Gammaproteobacteria; Enterobacterales; Enterobacteriaceae. The record is from RNAcentral.
GGGUUGUGAGGUUAAGCGACUAAGCGUACACGGUGGAUGCCCUGGCAGUCAGAGGCGAUGAAGGGCGUGCUAAUCUGCGAUAAGCGCCGGUAAGGUGAUAUGAACCGUUAUAACCGGCGAUACCCGAAUGGGGAAACCCAGUGUGAUUCGUCACACUAUCAUUAACUGAAUCCAUAGGUUAAUGAGGCGAACCGGGGGAACUGAAACAUCUAAGUACCCCGAGGAAAAGAAAUCAACCGAGAUUCCCCCAGUAGCGGCGAGCGAACGGGGAGGAGCCCAGAGCCUGAAUCAGCAUGUGUGUUAGUGGAAGCGUCUGGAAAGGCGCGCGAUACAGGGUGACAGCCCCGUACACAAAAGCGCAUGUGUUGUGAGCUCGAUGAGUAGGGCGGGACACGUGGUAUCCUGUCUGAAUAUGGGGGGACCAUCCUCCAAGGCUAAAUACUCCUGACUGACCGAUAGUGAACCAGUACCGUGAGGGAAAGGCGAAAAGAACCCCGGCGAGGGGAGUGAAAAAGAACCUGAAACCGUGUACGUACAAGCAGUGGGAGCACCCUUUGGGGUGUGACUGCGUACCUUUUGUAUAAUGGGUCAGCGACUUAUAUUCUGUAGCAAGGUUAACCGAAUAGGGGAGCCGGAGGGAAACCGAGUCUUAAUUGGGCGUUAAGUUGCAGGGUAUAGACCCGAAACCCGGUGAUCUAGCCAUGGGCAGGUUGAAGGUUGGGUAACACUAACUGGAGGACCGAACCGACUAAUGUUGAAAAAUUAGCGGAUGACCUGUGGCUGGGGGUGAAAGGCCAAUCAAACCGGGAGAUAGCUGGUUCUCCCCGAAAGCUAUUUAGGUAGCGCCUCGUGAAUUCAUCUCCGGGGGUAGAGCACUGUUUCGGCUAGGGGGCCAUCCCGGCUUACCAACCCGAUGCAAACUGCGAAUACCGGAGAAUGUUAUCACGGGAGACACACGGCGGGUGCUAACGUCCGUCGUGAAGAGGGAAACAACCCAGACCGCCAGCUAAGGUCCCAAAGUCAUAGUUAAGUGGGAAACGAUGUGGGAAGGCCCAGACAGCCAGGAUGUUGGCUUAGAAGCAGCCAUCAUUUAAAGAAAGCGUAAUAGCUCACUGGUCGAGUCGGCCUGCGCGGAAGAUGUAACGGGGCUAAACUAUGCACCGAAGCUGCGGCAGCGACACUAUGUGUUGUUGGGUAGGGGAGCGUUCUGUAAGCCUGUGAAGGUGUGUCGUGAGGCAUGCUGGAGGUAUCAGAAGUGCGAAUGCUGACAUAAGUAACGAUAAAGCGGGUGAAAAGCCCGCUCGCCGGAAGACCAAGGGUUCCUGUCCAACGUUAAUCGGGGCAGGGUGAGUCGACCCCUAAGGCGAGGCCGAAAGGCGUAGUCGAUGGGAAACGGGUUAAUAUUCCCGUACUUGGUGUUACUGCGAAGGGGGGACGGAGAAGGCUAUGUUGGCCGGGCGACGGUUGUCCCGGUU